CGGGGUGUAGCUCAGCUUGGUAGAGCGCCUGCUUUGGGAGCAGGAAGUCGCAGGUUCGAAUCCUGUCUCCCCGACCA
RNAcentral lists this transfer RNA (77 nucleotides) under Lysobacter sp. RNAcentral describes it as "tRNA-Pro". It matches the Rfam family "tRNA". From Rfam's summary of the family: Transfer RNA (tRNA) molecules are approximately 80 nucleotides in length. Their secondary structure includes four short double-helical elements and three loops (D, anti-codon, and T loops). RNAcentral also lists the same sequence under 3 other names. The record is from RNAcentral. Lineage: Bacteria; Pseudomonadati; Pseudomonadota; Gammaproteobacteria; Lysobacterales; Lysobacteraceae.